UCACUGUCCCGGGAGGGGUAUAUAUAGGAAGAGCAGGCAGGCUGAGGUAGACCAUUGAGACACACAGACAUGGUGAAGAUGACCAGGACACCAUGAGCUUCCAGCCCAGUUGUGGAACAACCACCUGCGGACACCAAAGAGCCAAGGAAGAGGGAGGCCCAUUCUCAACCAAAGUCCAAAAGUCCUAUCAAGGUUCCCAAGACUACCCGAAGGAAAAAGGAACCCUUUGAGGAAGUUCCAAGAAAAAGGCCACUCCCUAA
Molecule: long non-coding RNA, 260 nt
Filed under: Homo sapiens (human)
Lineage: Eukaryota; Metazoa; Chordata; Mammalia; Primates; Hominidae
Description: non-protein coding lnc-AFF2-1:1
Source: RNAcentral